UGUCAUGCUCUGAUGUUCUAUUUGAUCUUUUCCUUCAUUGUUGCUAGGUCUGUGCUACAUUCUACUAGGAAGUUGGUUCUUCUCUUUACUUUUAUUUAUGUAACUGAGCUAUAGAGUGAUGGAUGUUAAAUGAUCUAAUGGUUCUCUUUACUUUUAUUUAUGUAACUGAGCUAUAGAGUGAUGGAUGUUAAAUGAUCUAAUGGUUGGAUGAAUGAAGUACAAAUGGAAGCUUCAAAUAAAUGCUGUGUUGUGCCUUCAGUUUCAAGAUUUUAGAAUUCUG
This 280-nucleotide long non-coding RNA is filed under the name Olea europaea (common olive). Its description in RNAcentral is "long non-coding RNA (OEUR_LNC001868)". Lineage: Eukaryota; Viridiplantae; Streptophyta; Magnoliopsida; Lamiales; Oleaceae. The record is from RNAcentral.